GAAGGAAACCGGUUUUGAUCCGGUUGUCGGCGUCGCAACUGCCAGCUGCCUCUAACUCGGCUGUUAUUUGCUUGAUUUUUUCAGCGGCAACACUUACGAGAUCAGCUUUCUCACUGCAACCGACGACGAAAUAAGAAUCGUUUAAACAAAGGACGGACCGUAACAUUACCUGAGAAGCUUCGACAAAGCUGCAAUCGCCUCCUCGUAAGACUCACUUCCCAUAUCUUCUUCCUUAAAAAGGAAAAAGAAAUAAAUCAUUAAUUUCCGAGAAAAUUGAGUCUCGAGAUUUGAUUUGAAUCAGGAACAACGCAUAAACAGAA
Molecule: long non-coding RNA, 320 nt
Organism: Gossypium arboreum
Lineage: Eukaryota; Viridiplantae; Streptophyta; Magnoliopsida; Malvales; Malvaceae
Exons: 2
Source: RefSeq, a predicted model, not a curated record